This 530-nucleotide ribosomal RNA is filed under the name Escherichia coli. RNAcentral describes it as "partial 23S ribosomal RNA". It matches the Rfam family "Bacterial large subunit ribosomal RNA", at positions 1292 to 1807 of the family's 2925-position model. Lineage: Bacteria; Pseudomonadati; Pseudomonadota; Gammaproteobacteria; Enterobacterales; Enterobacteriaceae. The record is from RNAcentral.
GAAUGCUGACAUAAGUAACGAUAAAGCGGGUGAAAAGCCCGCUCGCCGGAAGACCAAGGGUUCCUGUCCAACGUUAAUCGGGGCAGGGUGAGUCGACCCCUAAGGCGAGGCCGAAAGGCGUAGUCGAUGGGAAACAGGUUAAUAUUCCUGUACUUGGUGUUACUGCGAAGGGGGGACGGAGAAGGCUAUGUUGGCCGGGCGACGGUUGUCCCGGUUUAAGCGUGUAGGCUGGUUUUCCAGGCAAAUCCGGAAAAUCAAGGCUGAGGCGUGAUGACGAGGCACUACGGUGCUGAAGCAACAAAUGCCCUGCUUCCAGGAAAAGCCUCUAAGCAUCAGGUAACAUCAAAUCGUACCCCAAACCGACACAGGUGGUCAGGUAGAGAAUACCAAGGCGCUUGAGAGAACUCGGGUGAAGGAACUAGGCAAAAUGGUGCCGUAACUUCGGGAGAAGGCACGCUGAUAUGUAGGUGAAGCGACUUGCUCGUGGAGCUGAAAUCAGUCGAAGAUACCAGCUGGCUGCAACUGUUUAU